CACCACCACCACCACGGCCUUGCCCCGUCUCCUCCUAUCCCCACCAGGGCCUCGCCCCGCCGCCCUUAUCCCCAGCACGGCCUCGCCCCGCUCCCUUCUCUCACCACCGCGGCCUUGCCACGCCGCCAACCCCGCGGAUCUUCCCUAGAUCGACUCUGCCGCCUCCAUCCUACUGCCCCAGAGGAGGUCGAGAUGCGGAGCAGGCAUAUCGAAUUGGAUUGAGAUCGAGUGCGUCGACGUGCCCAUCGUAAUCAUCGCCCCCCGUGCUUGGCUCAAACAGUCGCUCUGGGAAGGAGUUCGCAGCUCGCGUACGUGCUCUACAGGAUCAGCCUGAUCUCUAUGUCGCCGCUGUUGCCAGAAUCUAUCCUCAAGUAGGCUUUGACUCCAUUCCUCUGUUUAUCAUGUAGAUUCAGUUUGUACACUUAGUAGAACACACUUCCUGACCAAAUGAUGGACAAUAACUCUUCAGGUCUCACAAAGCGGUUGCUUCAUAGUUCCCACUAUUUAUAUCACAGCCAUAGGUAAUGCUAAUAGCAAUUUCAGUGUGUGUUCUUGAUCUCUUUAAGUGUGUAGAAUGAUAUUUUUACAUUGCUUCUUCCAAUUGCAGAAUGGUACAAAUGGAGAAGUAAGAAAAUAAGGCUUGGAGUUAUACCCAAAUAACAUUUAUGUAGGUGUGGAGAGAAACACUUGCUCUAUGCUCAUUGCCUAAUAGUAUAACAGAACACACUCUGAUUCUCCUGUAAUAUUGCUAGCAUAGCUGAUACUACAAGUUAAUGCGUGACUGCUUACUCUAAGUAGGCAUAUGACUGCAUAAAAAAAAGAUUGAAAACCGUAAAGCAUUUUUUAUAUGCAGCCCAAUGAAUUGUAUCGCCUUGAGCUCCAUUAUUUAGGCCAGAUCUCAUGAGAGGUGUUGUUUCAAUUGCAUUGGCAUACAAUAAGGUAAAGAAUUGCAUUGGGAUACCAAAUCUCUUGAUCAAAUGUGCUUCAGGAAUGCUAUGCAGUGAUAAAAUAAACAUAAUAGCAUACCAAAUGUGCCCUGUUAAGCAUAAAUGCUCUGAGUUAUAUUAAGAGGCGUACCCAUCCAUCUGAAGACUGCUCUUAAUAUAUUCUUCUCUUUUCCAUGUUGUAACAUCUAGAUCAGUCCACUUAUCGGAUUUUAAUUCCAUGUGCUUGGAUGCAUAUUUGAAUAAAUCCUCCAGCCCUUCUAGCUAUUGUACCAACAAAUGGAUAAAGUAUAAGCAUCACAAGCGAGAAAUAAGAAAAAAAACUUCUUCGAAAAGAUGGGGCAGUAGGCCUAAGUACUAACUGUAUCAGUGAGGUCCUUGCGGCUCAUGUAUGGGCCUAGCGAGUCGAGCACUUGAACACAUGUUUUCUGGCAUUUAUAACACAUAGGUACCAGUGAACGCCGUCCAUGUUUAUUGGAAUGUAUAUCUGAAGAAAAUGAUUAUUUCAGUUGUACUCGUAUGUGGACGAAUCGGUCGUUCUCGCUGUAAUUCAUAGAAAUAUGUAGGAAAGUAAGACUAACCAUAUCAUUUUCCAGAUAUGCUUUGGCUCUGUUUAAUACCCAUGCUGGUGCAGCAUCCAUGUCAUCUGAGGGCAGAUAGCUACCGAUCUUCAUCAUCUUAGAGAUGCAUGCAUUCUCUAAGAACACACUUCCACCUGACCUUACUUGUAGAUGCUCCGUAGCAAACAUGCAAUUUAUGUACAUAUUUAUGACCUACAAUUAAAAGUAUACAUAGUAUAUUAGAUGACACAUACUCCUAUUCAAAUAGCAUCUUCCUGUCCUAAUAUACUUACUUCGUCGCCAACCCAUUCUCCGGGAGAUAGAAGAGACAGUAAAUGUCUUCUUUUCAGAAAUGCGUUGCCGAUGCUCACUAAAUUUCUUUCUUUGCUUGGUUCAGAUCUGAUUUUUUCUUUAACGGACCAAUCAUCGCCAGUGCAGGCAUAAUCUGUCACGAUGGCUAUGAUAACAUUUAAUGAUAAUGAACACAAAAACAAUAAUGUAGCAUUACAAGGACACUGAAGGUUUUGUUCUGUGCCUUGUGGAGAAACAACAUAGUCUUGUGCCUUCUUAGGUUUCCCUCUGCCGCUUAAGUGCUUGUUUUGCUUCUGUACAAUAAGUGUUAAUUUGGUACAAGACAACAUGAGCAACAAUUGUUUUUACUCUGUAUGGUAGUUAAUAUGAGCGGCAAUUGAUUACCAUAUGAACUGCUGCCUCUGUAGGAUUGAAGUGGCGGUGGUAACACAGUCAGUUGGGAGGACCCAAUGGCAGAGUCGAUAUUAUUGACAUUUUCCUUGUUAGAAAUGGCGGCAUCUGGUGUUCUUAAUGAAUUUGGACCAUGAGGUGGAGUCUGAUCACUCAUUAUCACAUCAACAGGUAUGCCUGCAUCAUAAUUGUAUGUACAAUGUCAGUUGUUGACACACAAACGCCGAUAUUAUGGUUGGAUGUAGGAGAACACAUGACCUUCCGCAGCUUGUGUGUGUCGUUGUUGGGUGACAGCAGACUGCGCACUAGGCCUCUCCAAAGUGUCAAAACCUGUCCAAAAGAACAGUUAAUUAACAUGAAUUUACUUGUGAUUCAUGAAAUGUAUGGUUAAAAACAGAGAAAAUGGAGUAACCAAUCGACAUGGCCCCAUGUGGCUUAGAUGGAGUGUUGAUUCCAUUUAGAAUAGCAGCCGUAGCUUUCUUACGAUCCCUUGCCUCCUGUCUUUUCUUUAAUAUUGCAUCCCUGUUUAGUGCAUACCUCUCCCUUUCCCUCUGUCUCUUCAGCUCUUUUGGAUCUGGUUUUUGACCUAUGAGACAAUGGCAUAUUUUGGAUUUACAAGAUCAAAGUAGGUAAGAGUAGGUGAUAUAUGUAUUUACCUGAAUUGUUGUUGUUUGUCAGGUCCUGAAAGGGAGUACUUAUCCCACUACGCUGAGAGGAUGCCAUAUUGUAUUCUCAAUGGUUCUUUUUGUGAAAACACUUAUUUAACCCUUCGUCAACUCAGUUUGUUCAUGAUAUACUAUAAGUAUCAAUUUUCACAGUACAAAUUACUGACUGCCAGAUUGAAAGAGCAAUUUCCUUUGUCUUUUGUCGGAUCAUAAGACAUGCAAAUUAAAUUGAUCUAACCUGUGGCACUGGCAUGUCAAG
RNAcentral lists this long non-coding RNA (3130 nucleotides) under Triticum aestivum (bread wheat). Its description in RNAcentral is "long non-coding RNA (TAES_LNC018474)". The record is from RNAcentral. Lineage: Eukaryota; Viridiplantae; Streptophyta; Magnoliopsida; Poales; Poaceae.